GGGGAUCUAGCUCAGUUGGUAGAGCUCCUGCCUUGCAUGCACAAGGGCAUGGGUUCAAUCCCCAGCACCA
This 70-nucleotide transfer RNA is filed under the name Ictidomys tridecemlineatus (thirteen-lined ground squirrel). RNAcentral describes it as "Spermophilus tridecemlineatus (thirteen-lined ground squirrel) tRNA". It matches the Rfam family "tRNA". From Rfam's summary of the family: Transfer RNA (tRNA) molecules are approximately 80 nucleotides in length. Their secondary structure includes four short double-helical elements and three loops (D, anti-codon, and T loops). Lineage: Eukaryota; Metazoa; Chordata; Mammalia; Rodentia; Sciuridae. The record is from Rfam by way of RNAcentral.